GCACAAUAAAUGAAAAUGUGUGUUGUUGUUCCACAGGAGCAGCUUCUGUUCCUCCAAAAGCCCACCUGAUGAUCUCCCCUGCAGUCAUCAGAGAGAGUGACACACUUCAGAUGACUUGUGAAGUACCUCAGUCUCAGUCUGCGUCUCUGUGUGUAUUCUACCUGGAUGGGAUAGAGGCUCCUCCAUACAGUCACCCAUCAUGUCAGAUCUCCCUCACUGGUGUUCAGCUCCUGCAGUGGACACGUCAGAGUUCCCCUCUAGAGGCUAAAGUGGGGUGUUAUUAUACAGUAACAUCACUAGGGCAGCAAAUCCAACAUUCUGCUCACUCUGACCUUGUUUCAGUGACUGUUCUAGACAGACUGCAGAAGCCACACAUAACGGCCCUUCAUGAUGGCUCCACCUCCAU
Clupea harengus (Atlantic herring) is the source of this 406-nucleotide long non-coding RNA. NCBI's taxonomy places the organism in Eukaryota, Metazoa, Chordata, Actinopteri, Clupeiformes, Clupeidae. The record is from Ensembl.